Molecule: transfer RNA, 69 nt
Filed under: Marmota marmota marmota (Alpine marmot)
Lineage: Eukaryota; Metazoa; Chordata; Mammalia; Rodentia; Sciuridae
Also listed under: 3 other names
Rfam family: tRNA
About the family: Transfer RNA (tRNA) molecules are approximately 80 nucleotides in length. Their secondary structure includes four short double-helical elements and three loops (D, anti-codon, and T loops). Further hydrogen bonds mediate the characteristic L-shaped molecular structure. tRNAs have two regions of fundamental functional importance: the anti-codon, which is responsible for specific mRNA codon recognition, and the 3' end, to which the tRNAs corresponding amino acid is attached (by aminoacyl-tRNA synthetases). tRNAs cope with the degeneracy of the genetic code in two manners: having more than one tRNA (with a specific anti-codon) for a particular amino acid; and 'wobble' base-pairing, i.e. permitting non-standard base-pairing at the 3rd anti-codon position.
Source: Rfam by way of RNAcentral
GGGGAUGUAGCUCAGUGGUAGAGAACUUGCCUAGCAAGCAAGAGGCCCUGGUUUUAAUCUUCAGCACCA